RNAcentral lists this ribosomal RNA (430 nucleotides) under uncultured bacterium. RNAcentral describes it as "partial 16S ribosomal RNA". It matches the Rfam family "Bacterial small subunit ribosomal RNA", at positions 29 to 504 of the family's 1533-position model. The record is from RNAcentral.
AGCGAACGCUGGCGGCAGGCUUAACACAUGCAAGUCGAGCGGGCACUUCGGUGUCAGCGGCAGACGGGUGAGUAACACGUGGGAACGUACCCUUUGGUUCGGAAUAACGCUGGGAAACUAGCGCUAAUACCGGAUACGCCCUUUUGGGGAAAGGCUUGCUGCCGAAGGAUCGGCCCGCGUCUGAUUAGCUAGUUGGUGGGGUAAUGGCCUACCAAGGCGACGAUCAGUAGCUGGUCUGAGAGGAUGAUCAGCCACGCUGGGACUGAGACACGGCCCAGACUCCUACGGGAGGCAGCAGUGGGGAAUAUUGGACAAUGGGCGCAAGCCUGAUCCAGCCAUGCCGCGUGAGUGAUGAAGGCCUUAGGGUUGUAAAGCUCUUUUGUCCGGGACGAUAAUGACGGUACCGGAAGAAUAAGCCCCGGCUAACUUC